GACGAACGCUGGCGGCGUGCUUAACACAUGCAAGUCGAACGGAAAGGCCCUGCUUUUGUGGGGUGCUCGAGUGGCGAACGGGUGAGUAACACGUGAGUAACCUGCCCUUGACUUUGGGAUAACUUCAGGAAACUGGGGCUAAUACCGGAUAGGAGCUCCUGCUGCAUGGUGGGGGUUGGAAAGUUUCGGUGGUUGGGGAUGGACUCGCGGCUUAUCAGCUUGUUGGUGGGGUAGUGGCUUACCAAGGCUUUGACGGGUAGCCGGCCUGAGAGGGUGACCGGCCACAUUGGGACUGAGAUACGGCCCAGACUCCUACGGGAGGCAGAAGUGGGGAAUAUUGCACAAUGGGCGGAAGCCUGAUGCAGCAACGCCGCGUGCGGGAUGACGGCCUUCGGGUUGUAAACCGCUUUCGCCUGUGACGAAGCGUGAGUGACGGUAAUGGGUAAAGAAGCACCGGCUAACUACGUG
Molecule: ribosomal RNA, 468 nt
Filed under: uncultured bacterium
Lineage: Bacteria
Description: partial 16S ribosomal RNA
Rfam family: Bacterial small subunit ribosomal RNA
Source: RNAcentral